UUUCCCUACGGGGCGCAGCAGUGGGGAAUAUUGCACAAUGGGCGAAAGCCUGAUGCAGCAACGCCGCGUGAAGGAAGAAGGGUUUCGGCUCGUAAACUUCUAUUAACAGGGACGAAAGAAAUGACGGUACCUGAAUAAGAAGCCCCGGCUAACUACGUGCCGGCAGCCGCGGUAAUACGUAGGGGGCAAGCGUUAUCCGGAAUUACUGGGUGUAAAGGGUGAGGAGGCGGCAUGGUAAGC
Molecule: ribosomal RNA, 240 nt
Filed under: uncultured bacterium
Lineage: Bacteria
Description: partial 16S ribosomal RNA
Rfam family: Bacterial small subunit ribosomal RNA
Source: RNAcentral